This is a long non-coding RNA of Solanum lycopersicum (tomato), 536 nucleotides long. RefSeq lists it as uncharacterized. The record is from RefSeq and is a predicted model, not a curated record. Lineage: Eukaryota; Viridiplantae; Streptophyta; Magnoliopsida; Solanales; Solanaceae.
ACAUUAUGAAGUGUGCUAUUCACCAUCGGAUCAAAUUCUAACCAAAUUUUAGGACGAAAAUAAUUUUUCCUUCCAAUAUUUUUGAUACGAGCCUUGUCCCUUACUUCAAAAUAAUUUGGAACAUAUCAAAAUCUGAAAUUUUAAAAAUGGCCACCGCUAAUAUUCAGCAAUUCCAUGCAGGCGCAAGAAUCGAAAAAUAGCGAAUGGGGGACGAGCUGCUUGAAUAGAAACAAACAGGAAAAUGAAAAUGAAGAGACUGGAGGUUGAUUUGGUAAUGCUGUUACCUCCACUCAUUUUUGUGGGGAAGAGGGAAUAUUUGUUGUUUCAAUUGUGUGAGUGGUUGCUUUGGAUGUAGGUUUAUAUAAGAUUUGAGUUUUUUUGGUUUGUUGAGGCCAUGGGUAUUGGCCUUAAAGAGCUAGUGGUUAUGAUGCAUGAGGAUAUGGGCAUUGGUGAUGCAUCUUUUGCAUGUUUUAAAUUGGGAUAACGUAUAUAAAAUUUCACGGACUCACGAUGAAAUUAUCAGUUACAUAUUUAAA